Molecule: unclassified non-coding RNA, 365 nt
Filed under: Hevea brasiliensis (rubber tree)
Lineage: Eukaryota; Viridiplantae; Streptophyta; Magnoliopsida; Malpighiales; Euphorbiaceae
Source: RNAcentral
UCCACAAAGAGAGCGUCACCAAGUACUCUUCAAUCAAUCUAAUUCCAGAGAAACUUUAUUUUUUGAUAGAGAAUGUGGUUUGCAUUUCUUUGUUUCGAUUUGGUAUUCUUCAGAAUCAGAAAAAUUUUCAUUAACAUGUGAGGAUGAACUAGGAACAAAGUGGGUUGUUUGCUUAAUUUUCAUUAACAUAUGAGGAUGAGGAAAAUUUUCCAUUAACUAUAGGGGAUUAGGCUGCUGUUUGCUUUUUGAAAAAUUUUCGGGGAUUAUAUUGAUCAUAUGAGGAUGAAAUAGGAACAAAAUUGUUUCGUGGUAAAAUUGGUUACUAAAUAUUUGGAAUUGAUAAUAGAAGUUUCUGUGUAUACUUC